GCUUGUUGGCGAGGUAACGGCUCACCAAGGCAACGACGGGUAGCUGGUCUGAGAGGAUGGCCAGCCACAUUGGGACUGAGAUACGGCCCAGACUCCUACGGGAGGCAGCAGUGGGGAAUCUUGCGCAAUGGCCUAACGGCUGACGCAGCGACGCCGCGUGUAGGAUGAAGCUCUUCGGAGUGUAAACUACUGUUGCCCGGGACGAAUAGCUCGAUUAAUCGAGCCUGACAGUACCGGGUGAGGAAGCACCGGCUAACUCCGUGCCAGCAGCCGCGGUAAUACGGGGGGUGCGAGCGUUGUCCGGAAUCACUGGGCGUAAAGGGCGCGUAGGUGGCCCGGUCAGUUCGUGGUGAAAGCGCGGGGCUCAACUCCGCGUCGGCCAUGAAUACUGCUGGGCUUGAGCACUGUAGAGGCAGGCGGAAUUCCGGGUGUAGCGGUGGAAUGCGUAGAGAUCCGGAAGAACACCGGUGGCGAAGGCGGCCUGCUGGGCAGUAGCUGACACUGAGGCGCGACAGCGUGGGGAGCAAACAGGAUUAGAUACCCUGGUAGUCCACGCCGUAAACGAUGGGCACUAGGCGCUUGGGGGAGCGACCCCUCGAGGGCCGGCGCUAACGCAUUAAGUGCCCCGCCUGGGGAGUACGG
RNAcentral lists this ribosomal RNA (642 nucleotides) under uncultured bacterium. RNAcentral describes it as "bacterial SSU rRNA". It matches the Rfam family "Bacterial small subunit ribosomal RNA", at positions 244 to 885 of the family's 1533-position model. The record is from RNAcentral.